CAGGGUACUCGAGUGGCGAACGGGUGAGUAACACGUGGGUGAUCUGCCCUGCACUUCGGGAUAAGCUUGGGAAACUGGGUCUAAUACCGGAUAGUAACCAUCUUUAGUGUGGUGGUUGGAAAGUUUUUUCGGUGUAGGAUGAGCUCGCGGCCUAUCAGCUUGUUGGUGGGGUAAUGGCCUACCAAGGCGGCGACGGGUAGCCGGCCUGAGAGGGUGUACGGCCACAUUGGGACUGAGAUACGGCCCAG
RNAcentral lists this ribosomal RNA (248 nucleotides) under uncultured Actinomycetales bacterium. RNAcentral's name for it is "partial 16S ribosomal RNA". It matches the Rfam family "Bacterial small subunit ribosomal RNA", at positions 83 to 334 of the family's 1533-position model. The record is from RNAcentral. Lineage: Bacteria; Bacillati; Actinomycetota; Actinomycetes; Actinomycetales.